This 429-nucleotide ribosomal RNA is filed under the name Actinomycetes bacterium. RNAcentral describes it as "Actinobacteria bacterium partial 16S ribosomal RNA". It matches the Rfam family "Bacterial small subunit ribosomal RNA", at positions 355 to 776 of the family's 1533-position model. The record is from RNAcentral. Lineage: Bacteria; Bacillati; Actinomycetota; Actinomycetes.
UAGGGAAUCUUCCGCAAUGGGCGAAAGCCUGACGGAGCAACGCCGCGUGAGUGAUGAAGGUCUUCGGAUCGUAAAACUCUGUUAUUAGGGAAGAACAAAUGUGUAAGUAACUAUGCACGUCUUGACGGUACCUAAUCAGAAAGCCACGGCUAACUACGUGCCAGCAGCCGCGGUAAUACGUAGGUGGCAAGCGUUAUCCGGAAUUAUUGGGCGUAAAGCGCGCGUAGGCGGUUUUUUAAGUCUGAUGUGAAAGCCCACGGCUCAACCGUGGAGGGUCAUUGGAAACCGGAAAACUUGAGUGCAGAAGAGGAAAGUGGAAUUCCAUGUGUAGCGGUGAAAUGCGCAGAGAUAUGGAGGAACACCAGUGGCGAAGGCGACUUUCUGGUCUGUAACUGACGCUGAUGUGCGAAAGCGUGGGGAUCAAACAGG